CAGUUUGGGAAAAGCUGAGAAGUGGAAGAUUACUCAUUCUUUGAGUAAUUACAUCUUGAAAGAUGGCAGACUGUUCUACACUGGCCCAAACAAACUUUACAUACGGCUGGUGGUUAUGUCUGAGGAGGAAAAGAGCGCUGCUCUGAAAGGGUGCCACAACCAGCAAGGCACAGGCAAUCACAAUGGUGUCAGAGGCACCAGAAACCGUUUGGUGGCAGGAUACUACUAGCCCACCAUCAUGGAGGAUGUUACUGACUGGGUCAGGCGCUGUCACCAAUGCCAGUUAAAUGAUCCAAUAAAAACAGUGGCACCAGUGCUACACUCCAUCAAGGUGAAAGAAAAUUGGAGUGUGCUUGGAAUGGAUCUAAUUGGCCCAUUAAAGGAGACUGCACGCAAGAACAAAUACAUUCUGACAAUGACUGAUCCGCUGAACCGCUACAGUCAAAGUCAGCUGUGGAGAUUUCAGCCGCAGUAACUGCCAACUUUUACAUGUUUGGCAUGGUCAGCAAAAUCAUA
This is a long non-coding RNA of Scomber japonicus (chub mackerel), 516 nucleotides long. RefSeq lists it as uncharacterized. The transcript is spliced from 4 exons. NCBI's taxonomy places the organism in Eukaryota, Metazoa, Chordata, Actinopteri, Scombriformes, Scombridae. The record is from RefSeq and is a predicted model, not a curated record.